RNAcentral lists this long non-coding RNA (2367 nucleotides) under Callithrix jacchus (white-tufted-ear marmoset). RNAcentral's name for it is "lncRNA (ENSCJAG00000073363.1)". The record is from RNAcentral. Lineage: Eukaryota; Metazoa; Chordata; Mammalia; Primates; Cebidae.
CGGUGAGUAACCUGCUUCCUCCCAGAGAAGGUAGGAGGUGGGUAAGGAGGUUAAUGAGGAUCCUGAGCACUUGAGCCCUUCCCUUUCAGAAGUGGAUGCUCUGCUUUUCUGUCAACGGGUGUUCAAGGAAGGUGAGUGUCUGUAGAGUCCCCUCCCCAGAUCCCCACUGCUUCCCGCCACCAGCUGGGCUCCCUCUCAGAACUCUCCCAGCUUCCCUGAUUUUGUCCCUUUGCCUCCUGUUCUUCCCUCCACGUUUUCCCACCCCCACUGUGCCCGCAAACCACCCUGGUCUGAACUAGGUCCAUGCCUGUCUGCCCUGCUCAGCUCAGGCGUACUUUAAGGACACAGACUGUGGAGUUUGACAGCUCUCAUCCCAGGUUCCUACCCUGUGAACUUGUGCUGGUUACUUAACCCUUCAGUUGCCUCAUUUGCAAAAUCGGACCAACAAUAACCCAUCUCUUGGGCUACUGUGAAAUAGGAAUCAAGUGAACUUGUGGUUUUCACGGGGCCCCACACAUGAUAGGGGCCCUAUCACUGGGAGCGGAUUGUUCCCGUGUUGCCCUCCCCAUUCCUGCCAUGUCCUCCUGACUCCAUGUGAACAGUUGUCCUGGUCUACCCCCCUUCUGUGUGAGUGUCAAGCGAGACUGACUGGGGAUCACUGUGUGAGCAUGUAAAGCCUGUACAACUCUAAGGUGGUGGUGUUUGUUGGUCUUUGAAGUGGAAGGACAGUCUCAGGGUUCUGUUCUCGCCUUCACCCGGACCUUCAUCGUUACCCCCGGUAGCAGUUCCAGUCUGUGCAUCGUGAAUGACGAGCUAUUUGUGAGGGACGCCAGCCCCCAAGAGACUCAGAGUACCUUCUCCAUCCCAGUGUCCACACCCUCCUCCAGCUCUGAGCUCUCCCUCUCCCAGGAGCGGCAGGAAAUGGUGCAGGCUUUCUCUGCCAGUCUGGGAUGAAGCUGGAAUGGUCUCAGAAGUGCCUUCAGGACAAUGAGUGGAACUACACCAGAGCUGGUCAGAUCUUCACUGUGCUCCAGACCAAGGGCAAGAUCCCAGUGGAGGCCUUCAAACAGACCCCCUGAAAGAAGCCCUUCCACGUCUUCUUUGUCUUCGCUCACAUCCUCUUUGUUUCCUCUCUUCACCAGCCGAAGGCCAUGCCCAGGAGCGGCAUUGGAGGCCUGGCCGAUCAGGAAGCCAAAGUUAACGGGCAGGCUGCAAUGCCAUAACCACCCGAAGAGCCACUUGCCCUGUGUAUUUGCCCCACUCAUGAUCCCUGUUUAUUUUCAUAAUAAAGAGUGACAUUGCACGGUGUACGUUGUGUGCCCUGGAUUGCUCUUCUCCUGCCCCCAACCAUGCGCCAGUGGGGCCAGGGCUGAAAGCCCUGCAUAGCUGUUCGCCCCUGGCUGGCCUUAGCAGGUACAUCAAUCUGGCUUUCCUUCAUAGGUAAUUUUGUCAAUAAACCCUGAUGAGAAAGGACACACGCUCCUUCCAGAGACUGACCUUGAGAGACAGUGGAACCCUGCCAGAUGCUCGAUCUGAGGCCCACAGAAGCAGGCAUGUUACCUUGGCACACCAGGAGCUUUCAUCCACCGUCUCGACCCCUCCCUUUCCUGAAGGUGCACUAUUCGAGGAGGAGCCUGAGGUCAGCACCUGCAGGGGGAAGAAGACUCAGCUCGUCGGCCCAGCGCACUCCUCAGAGAGCUGACAUCGGGUGCUCCAUGUCCAUGUUCUCAACGGUGUUCAGCCAUUUAUUUUCACUUCUAAACAAACAGCAGUAGCAUAGAAUCUCACCUUAUGGUCAGUUCUCAAUGACUGGCAUUUAGCAGUUGUUGAGAACUGACCGUAAGGUGGUCAGUUCCAAAUUGCAGGCAAGAGUUGAGCGGGACAUUUGCCCAAUUUAUUGCCCACACUUCUGUGAUGCUUGCACAUUAGACAAUCAGCAGGCAUACUUUUCAAAAUUAAAAUAAUAGCAGUAUGACGUUGUCAAGUCAUAGUCCUAUAAAUUAUGCCUCCACUUCUGUGUUUGGCAUACAUUAUUUCCUACCACUUGUACCUUUCAGCUCUUUAUGUACAUGUACAUUAGGGAUCCGUAUGUUGGAGUGUGAAUUUCUUAAAACUAGGAACUAAGGGGAUAGUUGUCAUUACAAAAAGAAUAAUGCCCAUCUUGUUCUUCCCUGUAAUGCCUCAACAGUCAAAGGCAACCUCCCGUAUCUCUCUAAGCCUUGGUUCUCUCACCUAGGGAGCAGAGAUGCUAAGCACUGCUGUGCUUCUCAGCGUCAUCUUGGGGCCUAGAGAUGGUCUCACAUGUUAUUCAUCAACCACAGUGCCUGUUCAACUCAGGAUCUGAGAGCUGCCAGGGCUCCUUUGUGG